CGCUCUGUCUGCUCCAGUAUCAGAUAUUUCCCCCGAGAAACAUCCGACUCUUACUAACAUGGGCAAGGAAAGGACCAGCGUCAACAUGGCCGUCGUCGGCUACUACUAGACCUUCUAUCAGCAGAUGGACGGCUAGUACAACACGGACAUGACCCGGCUUCUGUACACGGACACGCUCUGGACACGGACGAUACGAUGCUAGCUCUCCCGGAUUAUUACAACUCAACAUGAUUGGCUUUUUAUGAAAUAUAUCAAAAUUCUUCCGUUUAA
Molecule: long non-coding RNA, 270 nt
Filed under: Homalodisca vitripennis (glassy-winged sharpshooter)
Lineage: Eukaryota; Metazoa; Arthropoda; Insecta; Hemiptera; Cicadellidae
Description: uncharacterized LOC124372994
Source: RNAcentral